AAUCAACGCUGGCGGCGUGCCUAACACAUGCAAGUCGAACGAGAAAGUGGAGCAAUCCAUGAGUACAGUGGCGACCGGGUGAGUAACACGUGACUAACCUACCCUAGAGUGGGGGAUAACCCCGGGAAACCGGGGCUAAUACCGCAUGACAUCGCGAGGGGAAGAUCCUUGCGAUCAAAGGAGUAGUCCGCUCAAGGAGGGGGUCGCGGCUGAUUAGUUGGUUGGUAGGGUAACGGCCUACCAAGACGAAGACCAGUAGCCGGCCUGAGAGGGCGAACGGCCACACUGGAACUGAAACACGGUCCAGACUCCUACGGGAGGCAGCAGUGGGGAAUUUUGCGCAAUGGGGGAAACCCUGACGCAGCAACGCCGCGUGGAGGAUGAAGUCCCUUGGGAUGUAAACUCCUUUCGAUCGGGACGAUUAUGACGGUACCGGAAGAAGAAGCACCGGCUAACUCUGUGCCAGCCGCCGCGGUAA
RNAcentral lists this ribosomal RNA (478 nucleotides) under uncultured bacterium. RNAcentral describes it as "partial 16S ribosomal RNA". It matches the Rfam family "Bacterial small subunit ribosomal RNA", at positions 32 to 523 of the family's 1533-position model. The record is from RNAcentral.